AUAUUGUUGCUUUCUGCUCUCGUGGACUCCACGAAUUUUCUCUUUGUGCUCCUUCUUCCCUGAAGCGAUUCGACUUGCCGAGCGUCUGACUUUGAGGAACCCUGUGAGGCCACAUCUUCAUGGCGCGAUCGAUGGUGAUAGAGAUAACCAUGGCGCUCAGAAUCCCCAGAAGAAAUGUUACCACUGCAACUCAAACCAUCAACGUUCCAGCAGCUAGAAAAGAUGGUCGAGAUGCCAUCCUGAGCAUCGAGGACGUUGCUGAUGACUCGUUCUUCUUCAGAUGCUCCAAAGUUCUCGGUGACUGGAUGGGAAACAUCGGUUCUAUCAGUGAGUGAAGAAGAAGCAUAUGCUUGACAACAAGAAGCAUCCCCGGAAGUGGUGUCCAGUACUGAUCUCAUGAGACCAGAAUCAGCAGCCGACAUUAAUAUCGCUUCCUGAUACUGCAACAAAUCCAGAUCCAAACUGUUGUUCAUCGAACCCAAAGCGGGAGUUGAGAUUCCCACUGUCUCACUGUGUCCACCAAGAUGCGAACUUGCUUGGCAUGCGUCCAGAAUCCCCUGGAGCUCUAAGCUUGAGCUGAGGAGAGCUUCGUCGAGUGCAAACUUAUCGUUGAAGGCGGUGUAGCCUUCGCUGGAGCCUGUGAAAUCACCAUAGUGGUUGCUGCAUCUACUUGGCGACAGGAAAACCUCGCUUCUGAUGGCCGCUGGAUUCUCCCAACCAAAGCUAUCCAUGGAAAAUAAACAAACAUGACGUAGAACAACGAUAUAUAUCCAGAUUUAUCUACGACAUAUAAUCUAUACCUUCCGCUGAUCCAGCUAUUUAGAAGCCCAGAAUCUGACCGAUGCAGGACCCUUGAUUUCGUACCCAAAGAGUGUAGCCAAAAACUAAACGUAGUAAUCCUGCCUAUCUUCGGUCGUCAGUCAUCACUCGUGAAGACAUUUAGUGCAUGGAGGAGAUCAACUACGACAACCUCUGCCGACUGUAUACCAGGAGGCAAGGCAUUACAUCCCGGAAUCUCCGAGUAAUGCAGGAUCGCAUCUACAAGGAGUACAGAAGAAGUGGAAGGGCAGAGAGGUAAAGACGACGAUGUAUAUAGAUGUGUUUUCUCUAUGUCUGGGUAGGCAUGAAGAAUGUAUAUGCUGCUGUGAUAUAUGCCCAGCUCCUGUAAAGUAACCUUAAAUAGAGUAGGGCAGAGAUGGUCCUCGGUUGGAGUUU
This is a long non-coding RNA of Musa acuminata AAA Group (dessert banana), 1215 nucleotides long. RefSeq lists it as uncharacterized. The transcript is spliced from 2 exons. NCBI's taxonomy places the organism in Eukaryota, Viridiplantae, Streptophyta, Magnoliopsida, Zingiberales, Musaceae. The record is from RefSeq and is a predicted model, not a curated record.